GGGGCCCCUGUGCCAGGCCAGCCCAUGUUGCCGCCUGGGCAGUAGCCCCCGGGGGCCUACCCUGGACAGCCGCCCAUGACCUACCCUGGACAGUCACCAAUGCCACCUCCUGGGCAGCAGCCUGUGCCAAGCUAUCCAGGGUACUCAGGUUCUGGGACUGUCACCCCUGCCGUGUCCCCAGCCCAGUUUGGAAACCGAGGCACCAUCACAGAUGCAUCUGGCUUUGACCCACUGCGAGAUGCUGAGGUCCUGCUGAAGGCCAUGAAAGGCUUUGGGACUGACGAGCAGGCCAUCAUUGACUGCCUGGGCAGUCGCUCCAACAAGCAACGGCAGCAGAUCCUCCUGUCCUUCAAGACAGCAUAUGGGAAGGAUUUGAGCAAAGAUCUGAAAUCUGAACUGUCAGGAAACUUUGAGAAGACAAUCUUGGCCCUGAUGAAGACGCCUGUCCUCUUUGAUGCUUAUGAGAUAAAGGAAGCUAUCAAGGGGGCGGGCACUGAUGAAGUCUGCCUGAUUGAGAUCCUCGCCUCCCGCAGCAAUGAGCACAUCCGGGAACUGAACAGACUCUACAAGACAGAAUUCAACAAGACUCUGGAGGAGGCCAUUCGGAGCGACACGUCAGGGCACUUCCAGCGGCUCCUCAUCUCUCUCUCUCAGGGGAACCGGGAUGAAAGCACGAACGUGGACAUGACUCUCGUCCAGAGAGAUGCGCAGGAGCGCUAUGCAGCUGGGGAGAACCGCCUGGGAACAGAUGAAUCCAAGUUCAGUGCAAUUCUGUGCUCCCGGAGCCGGACCCACCUGGUGGCAGUUUUUAAUGAGUAUCAGAGAAUGACAGGACGUGACAUUGAGAAGAGCAUCUGCCGGGAGAUGUCCGGGGACUUGGAGCAAGGCAUGCUGGCUGUGAUGAAAUGUCUUAAGAAUACCCCAGCCUUCUUUGCUGAGAGGCUCAACAAGGCCAUGAGGGGAGCAGGAACCAAAGACCGGACCCUGAUCCGCAUCAUGGUGUCUCGCAGCGAGAUCGACCUCCUGGACAUCAGAGCGGAGUAUAAGCGGCUGUAUGGCAAGUCGCUGUACCACGAUAUCACGGGAGACACUUCAGGGGAUUACCGGAAGAUUCUGCUGAAGAUCUGUGGUGGCAACGACUGGGCAGUGGCUGGUGGGUCACUUCUCUCCACCUGCUGGCAACAGCAAUGCCAGGAAAAGGCCAAAAGGACGUUUGUCUGUUUCUAACAAAUCUACAAAACCGCCCCCAGGUGUCACCUUUCAGAGCAGCCGUAGAGCCGGGGCCCCAGCUCCUCCCCCACCCUCUCGAUCCGUGCACUGUGCUUGAGCCGAACCUGGCCAGUCUCUCGGGACGCCUCCUGCCCAUCCCCACCCCUCACAGCCUCUUGCAGCUGAAGUAGAUGUUUUGUUUCCUGACUCAUGCAGUCAUUCCCCUUUGCUUAUGGCUGAAACUCUUGGCUUCCUUUUAGUCAUGUAAUUUCGUAUGUUUAGAAGGUGUUUUUUUUUUUUUUAAUAUAUAGUUGCAGACAGUUGCAUACACGUCUUUGCUGCAUACAAAGUUUGGGUGAAAGAGGUGGGGGUUGGAGUGCCUGUCUUCACGGAGGAGUAAAAGGGAAAACCGUUAAGGGUACACGCUCUGCAUCUGGUGAAAAUGUGUCAUGAGCUUUGUUAUUGCCAAACUCACUCCUUUUUAGAAAAGAAAAGGCCAGAAAGUCAUCUGUUCUUUCUUCCACGCAAACCACAAGAACAAAGCCAGCUCCCUGCCAGUGACAGGGCUUCUUGUAAUUGAGAAUGUGCCUUAAACCUGAAUGUCGAUGGCCAAAUGCUAUUUCCAAAUUAAAGUCACCCAGCUCUGGAA
Molecule: non-coding RNA, 1858 nt
Organism: Odocoileus virginianus texanus
Lineage: Eukaryota; Metazoa; Chordata; Mammalia; Artiodactyla; Cervidae
Source: RefSeq, a predicted model, not a curated record